UUCUGUCAUGCAUCAAGAUCAUGCCAAUAUAACUGCAAGAGAAGUGAAAGAGUUCGCUGGAAGUUCAGCUCCAUUAUCCACAAAAUAUGGAGGGGAUUCUCAGAGAAGGCUUGAUGGUUCUGUCACUUUUGUAAGGUUUGCUGAGAAGCACCGCCGGCUGUUAAAUGCUUUUAUCAGACAGAAUCCAGGCUUGUUGGAGAAAUCACUUUCGUUGGUGCUGAAAGCACCAAGGCUGAUUGAUUUUGACAAUAAAAGAGCAUAUUUCCGCUCAAGAAUCAGGCAACAGCAUGAGCAACACCUCUCUGGUCCACUGCGGAUUAGUGUCCGGCGAGCAUAUGUGUUAGAGGACUCAUACAAUCAGUUGCGCUUGCGACCAACUCAGGAAUUAAAG
Molecule: long non-coding RNA, 391 nt
Filed under: Vitis vinifera (wine grape)
Lineage: Eukaryota; Viridiplantae; Streptophyta; Magnoliopsida; Vitales; Vitaceae
Description: long non-coding RNA (VVIN_LNC006514)
Source: RNAcentral